CUUGGUGGACUCCUAGGUGGGGACUGGUCACCAGAAGGACUAAGCCACAAUCAGAAGUUUGGACUUUUCAAAUCCUCCCUGCCCCCAUUCUCUGGGACGGGGAGAGGGGCUGGAGAUUGAGUUAAUAAUUGAACAUAUCUGAAUCAUGAGGCUUCCAUUAAAAAAAUCCCAAACCCUGGGGUCUGGAAAACCUCAAGGUUGACAGGCCCGUCCACCUGCUGGGAGAUGGUGAACCCCGACUCCAUGAGGACACACUCCUGUGCUUGGGCGCUGGCCUCUGUAUCUCUUUCUCCACUUGGCUAUUUAUUCGUAUCCUUUCCAUUUCUUUUAUUAAGAUCACAAACUGGCAAACAUCCGUGAAGUGUUUCCCAGAAUUCCAUGAGCCAUCCUGGCAAGUCACCCAAACCUGUGUGAGAGCAGCCACAGGAACCCCCAUUUAGAGCAGUGAACAAGGACAGACACACUGUAGAUAGCCCAGGGAGGAGGUGCUGGCAUCCGGAUUCGAUGCGGAGUUCUCGGCCAAGGUCAGCACUCAAGGUUACCACAGGCGGAUCAAGGAUGGACUGAGAUGGUCUCGCAUUGACAUUCCAUAUUUGGCGUUCCUG
Ictidomys tridecemlineatus (thirteen-lined ground squirrel) is the source of this 605-nucleotide non-coding RNA. NCBI's taxonomy places the organism in Eukaryota, Metazoa, Chordata, Mammalia, Rodentia, Sciuridae. The record is from RefSeq and is a predicted model, not a curated record.